AGCAGUAGCCGCGGUAAUACGAAGGGUGCAAGCGUUACUCGGAAUUACUGGGCGUAAAGCGUGCGUAGGUGGUGGUUUAAGUCCGUUGUGAAAGCCCUGGGCUCAACCUGGGAAUUGCAGUGAUACUGGGUCACUAGAGUGUGGUAGAGGAUAGUGGAAUUUCCGGUGUAGCAGUGAAAUGCGUAGAGAUCGGAAGGAACAUCUGUGGCGAAGGCGACUAUCUGGGCCAACACUGACACUGAGGCACGAAAGCGUGGGGAGCAAACAGGAUUAGAUACCCGUGUAGUCCCUGUCUCUUAUACA
Molecule: ribosomal RNA, 303 nt
Filed under: uncultured bacterium
Lineage: Bacteria
Description: partial 16S ribosomal RNA
Rfam family: Bacterial small subunit ribosomal RNA
Source: RNAcentral